CCUACGGGUGGCUGCAGUGGGGAAUAUUGGGCAAUGGGCGCAAGCCUGACCCAGCAACGCCGCGUGAAGGAAGAAGGCUUUCGGGUUUUAAACUUCUUUUAAUAGGGAAGAGCAGAAGACGGUGCCUCUUGAAUAAGCCACGGCUAACUACGUGCCAGCAGCCGCGGUAAUACGUAGGUGGCAAGCGUUGUCCGGAUUUACUGGGUGUAAAGGGCGUGUAGCCGGGCUGACAAGUCAGAUGUGAAAUUCCGGGGCUCAACCCCGGACUUGCAUUUGAAACUGUUGGUCUUGAGUAUCGUAGAGGUAGGCGGAAUUCGUAGUGUAGCGGUGAAAUGCGUAGAUAUUAGGAGGAACACCAGUGGCGAAGGCGGCUUGCUGGACGACAACUGACGGUGAGGCGCGAAAGCGUGGGGAGCAAACAGGAUUAGAUACCCCAGUAGUC
RNAcentral lists this ribosomal RNA (442 nucleotides) under uncultured bacterium. RNAcentral describes it as "partial 16S ribosomal RNA". It matches the Rfam family "Bacterial small subunit ribosomal RNA", at positions 338 to 795 of the family's 1533-position model. The record is from RNAcentral.